This 497-nucleotide ribosomal RNA is filed under the name uncultured bacterium. RNAcentral's name for it is "partial 16S ribosomal RNA". It matches the Rfam family "Bacterial small subunit ribosomal RNA", at positions 28 to 507 of the family's 1533-position model. The record is from RNAcentral.
GAUGAACGCUGGCGGCGUGCCUAAUACAUGCAAGUCGAGCGAACGGACGAGGAGCUUGCUCCUCUGAUGUUAGCGGCGGACGGGUGAGUAACACGUGGAUAACCUACCUAUAAGACUGGGAUAACUUCGGGAAACCGGAGCUAAUACCGGAUAAUAUUUUGAACCGCAUGGUUCAAUAGUGAAAGACGGUCUUGCUGUCACUUAUAGAUGGAUCCGCGCUGCAUUAGCUAGUUGGUAAGGUAACGGCUUACCAAGGCAACGAUGCAUAGCCGACCUGAGAGGGUGAUCGGCCACACUGGAACGUAGACACGGUCCAGACUCCUACGGGAGGCAGCAGUAGGGAAUCUUCCGCAAUGGGCGAAAGCCUGACGGAGCAACGCCGCGUGAGUGAUGAAGGUCUUCGGAUCGUAAAACUCUGUUAUUAGGGAAGAACAUAUGUGUAAGUAACUGUGCACAUCUUGACGGUACCUAAUCAGAAAGCCACGGCUAACUACGUG